RNAcentral lists this RNase P RNA (367 nucleotides) under Bowdeniella nasicola. Its description in RNAcentral is "RNase P RNA component class A". It matches the Rfam family "Bacterial RNase P class A". From Rfam's summary of the family: Ribonuclease P (RNase P) is a ubiquitous endoribonuclease, found in archaea, bacteria and eukarya as well as chloroplasts and mitochondria. Its best characterised activity is the generation of mature 5'-ends of tRNAs by cleaving the 5'-leader elements of precursor-tRNAs. The record is from RNAcentral. Lineage: Bacteria; Bacillati; Actinomycetota; Actinomycetes; Actinomycetales; Actinomycetaceae.
CGAGCUGGCCGGGCGGCCGCGGCAGAUGUCGAGGAACGUCCGGGCACCGUAGGACAGGACGGUGGGUAACACCCACCCGGGGUGACCCGCGGGCACGUGCAACAGAAAGUAGACCGCCACCCGCGUGAGCGGGAGGUAAGGGUGAAAGGGUGGUGUAAGAGACCACCAGCGUCCCCGGUGACGGGGGUGGCUAGGUAAACCCCGUCCGGUGCAAGACCACGCAGCAGGCGCAUGAGGGCUGUCCGUCCAAGCCUGCGGGUAGGUUGCUCGAGCCGCGCGGUAACGCGCGGCCAAGAUAGAUGGUCGCCCCUGGCAAGGCCCGCCGGCCGCGCCAGGACAGAACCCGGCGUACAGGCCAGCUCGUCCC